CAGGUUAAGCUGCUUGAGAAUUUGACAAAUAUACUUUCCAUGACACCAACCAAAUGUUUCUGUCAGCACAAUAAUCUGUGGUGUUAAACACACAUUUUUGGAAACAGAUAACGAAACACCAGCAUAGCUUGUGUGCUGCAGCUCAUUCAUGAUGGCUGUGUCUGUCUACCUUUUAAGGCUGCAGUUAUGGCUAUGCUGAGAGUGGACAGCGUCUCACUGUGGAGCCCCAGUACUACAGAGCUGCACAUUAUCCCAGCCAGCAUGACCAGGUCCACAGUUCCUCAGCCUGGAGUAGCACUUUUCCUGCUGACCUCAGGUCAAAAAGUGCUCCAGUAGAUUUCCGCCUAACUAUAUCCUUCCAACGCCUCAAGUCCACCGACAACCUCUACCAGUAGUCCUGGCUCUAAUCAGAAAGGCGGCACCCCUUGUCCUGGUCCUGCUCAGGGGGGCCCAGACCCAAACCAAGAUUAAUCUGCCCCCAAUGGAUCUGACACCCAGAGAGAAGUUUCCCAUAGCCCCAUUGGAAAGAUCCAAGGUGUAAAGGGCAGUUGUUGUUUUUUUUAUCCCAGAUAAGAUGGAGCUAACAGAUUUGACCAAACUCUAAACUGGAAAGACCAGCUGUGCCAUUUACGCUAUUCCCUUAGCCAUUGGUCCCCCCCAGUAUGAGACAAAUCCCAGUGGCUAUUACUUGCAUACCACAUCUUUCCCCAUGUAUUAUUCAAACCCAACUUCUUCAGUUUACCCUGUUCCAAUGUGGUAUGGUCCCACUCAGGAUGUUAAGUGGUUAUAACCCAGGCCAGGUGAAGCCUCCCACAAGCUUUGAAAAGGACCAUUUCUCCCAAACCAAUCACUGCAGCUUGUCCUGCACCGGUUGGCUCAAGUACCCCCUCAGCCUGGAAAUGUUCCCAGUGGACAUUACCAAGGUCUGAAGAACCCCACUACUACCCAAUUUGGGACACCCUAGACUGGAGGAGGACAGGCUGAUAAGAAAUCCUCUCCUGUCCAGACAGGAAAUUAAACCUGAUUCCUCCAGAAUGGAAAGCUGCACUCCAGCGAUAUACCCCCAGCUAUGGCCCUCCUUAUAGUGUAGGUCAGUAUAAAUAUAAACCCCCCAACUCCAAUAAAACCUGACCCUGUGCCCACCAAUGUUGGCUAUGGCCAAAAUGGAGGAGCUCCUAGUGGUUACUACUACCCGGGUCAGGAAAACCUCUCCCCAGGUUAUUUUGGCAAAAGACUGACUGAACAAACUAUGCCUCCAAAACCUACUGUUGACCCUGUAUCCAAUACCUAUGAUCCUAUCCACUAUGGAAACUAUUUUCUAGUUCAAACUAAACCUUCCAUCUCAAAUUCAGGAAUAGGCCAGGCUGGUAAGAAACCUUCAGUCCAGAAAGGUAGUGAACUUGGUCCACCAAGCCCCCAAAUAAGACCUGCCCCCCCAGAAUUAUACCCCAGCUAUGGCUCUCCUUACAGUAUGGAUAGCCAAUAUACAUUCAAACCCCCCGUCAGAAAAAACCCUCCACCUCCCAUUCAGGAAGAGACCAGGAUGGUGAACUCUCUCCUGGACCAAUUUCUGGCCCUGUUUCUGCACUCAAUCAUUCCAUCACAGGAAGUUCAGAUAGCAAACCUGCACCGCAGAGUUAUACCCCCACCUACAAUGCUCCUUAUAGUGUUGGUAGCCAAUAUAACCAAUCCUGACAAAACAGACUAUCAUUGAGUCCCUGUGCGCUCCAAUGUUGGCUAUGGCCAAAAUUUAGCUCCGAGUGGCUACUACUCAGAUCAGCAUCAACCCUCCACCAACUAUUUUAGUCAUGGACCGACUUGGCCAACCUAUGCUUCCCAUAUCCAUAUUUGAUGUCGGCCCUGUCCACUAUCCUACCCACUAUAGAACCUUUUACCCAUGGCAGAUGUAACUUUCCACCACCAAUUCAGGAGGAAGUGGCCAGGUUGGUAAGAAUCCCUCUCUAGGUCAGCAAGGUAGUGAACAUGGUUCCCCAACCCGCAAAUACAGCAGGCCUGUGCCCCCUACUUAUAGCCCCAUCUUAAAGCACAGGUGCCCCAAGGCCAGUAACUGCCCAAACAGACUACUACCUUGUGCCAUCCAAUAUUGGCUAUAGCCAGAAUGGAGGAGUGCCUAUUCGCUACUACUACUCAGGUCAGGAAAACCCUUCUACCAGUUAGUUAUAUUGAACAAAACAUUCCUCCCAAAGCUUUCAUUAAAGCAAAACCUUACCCCAGCCAAUGUUCCUCUGCACAAAGUAUAGAUGACCCAAGUCGGAACUCUCAGCCACCUUUUCACAGCACUUGGACCACAAACCUGCUUUGGAAGUCAACACGUUUGCACCUUUUCACAGUGGAUUAAACCCAAAUGCAGCCAACCAGUUCGCCCAGAUUACCAGUGAUUCAAGCAUGGAGGCUGAGAGUGGUGAAGAGCCUAGUCCUGUCCAACCCACUCCUGAAUCAGAUGAAGGUGCAGGUCCCAGAGGAUUUAUGCCACAAAUACUUCCUCAGAGAAACUACACCCAGUCCUAGAGUGGAGGCUCCCGUGGUGAUGUCGUUCCAGGAAGACCUGAAUUUAGGAUGACUUAAGUGCAGGCUCGGUGAUCUCCUGACCAUGGACUUCAAUUCUCUACAGCACUUUGAUUACUAAUAAAUAAUUCAAUAUUUCAC
Molecule: long non-coding RNA, 2667 nt
Organism: Oncorhynchus tshawytscha (Chinook salmon)
Lineage: Eukaryota; Metazoa; Chordata; Actinopteri; Salmoniformes; Salmonidae
Exons: 3
Source: RefSeq, a predicted model, not a curated record